RNAcentral lists this ribosomal RNA (493 nucleotides) under uncultured bacterium. RNAcentral describes it as "partial 16S ribosomal RNA". It matches the Rfam family "Bacterial small subunit ribosomal RNA", at positions 30 to 523 of the family's 1533-position model. The record is from RNAcentral.
AUUGAACGCUGGCGGCAUGCCUUACACAUGCAAGUCGAACGGUAACAGGUUAAGCUGACGAGUGGCGAACGGGUGAGUAAUGUAUCGGAACGUGCCCAGUCGUGGGGGAUAACUACUUGAAAGAGUGGUUAAUACCGCAUACGACCUGAGGGUGAAAGCGGGGGAUCGCAUGACCUCCCGCGAUUGGAGCGGCCGAUACCAGAUUAGCUAGUUGGUGAGGUAAAGGCUCACCAAGCCGACGACCGGUAGCUGGUCUGAGAGGACGACCAGCCACACUGAGACUGAGACACGGCCCAGACUCCUACGGGAGGCAGCAGUGGGGAAUUUUGGACAAUGGGCGCAAGCCCGAUCCAGCCAUGCCGCGUGUGGGAAGAAGGCCUUCGGGUUGUAAACCACUUUUGUCGGGGAAGAAACGGCUUGGGCUAAUACCCUGAGCUAAUGACGGUACCCGAAGAAUAAGCACCGGCUAACUACGUGCCAGCCGCCGCCGUAA